This is a long non-coding RNA of Homo sapiens (human), 1033 nucleotides long. The record is from Ensembl. NCBI's taxonomy places the organism in Eukaryota, Metazoa, Chordata, Mammalia, Primates, Hominidae.
GAGUAGCUGGGACUACAGGCGUGUGCCACCAUACCCGGCUAAUUUUAUUUAUUUAUUUUUGUGGAGACAGGGGUCUUGCUAUGCUACCCAGGCUGGUCUCGAACUCCUGGCCUCAAGAGAUCCUGCCCCAGCUUCCCGAGUGGAUUUCUGUUUUUUAAUGGCUAUUUCCUUUUCCCCCUGACAUUUACAAAAUGCUUACAUAUGCCAGGCACUAUGUUUAGUGCUUACUUGGAUUCUCUCAUUUAACCCUCAAGUAAUUCUCUAAGGAAAGUACUAUCAUGUCACCCCCAUCUGAGAGGACUGAGGCUCAGUGAGGUCCCGUGAGGUCACAGAAACAGCUUUUAAACUGUGUCAAGAUAGCCAGAGCUGGAACAGCAGAGCUACGCUGAUUGCCCACUGGACACGGAAAAGCGGCUUCUCUCACACGAAGGUGUGUUCAGCAGGUUUCCCUAGGUUAAAGGAGAAAGGCUGGAUGCAGGAUAGAAAGAAAAAUGCUUUGCUCCAUGAAGGUGGAUUCUGAAGGGUGUAUUUGACUGAGGAGACAACUGUAAAGUCCCUUGGGAAUUGGUCCUUGCUCUGAUUUUUGCCACCAAAGUACUGCUGUCAAACAGAUUCAAACGGGUUUCACAAUUAAUGUGAAGAGGCUCCGGUUACACCGCAAAUGAGUGUGAUUGCUCCUCAGGAUUAAGGAUGUUUUUCUGUGGCUGAACUGAAGCAUCUGUCCUCAGGGCUGGAGGCUGGGUAUCACCACAGCUGACCUCCUCUCCAUGGCUCUUGCUGCUGCUAAUCCUCCAAGAUGAAUCUGAAAGAGAAAACAACUGCUUAGUUGCUACAAAUCAUAGGAAGACUCUGGUGAGAAAAUCUCCAUAAAAGACUUCGGAAAAGAUAUGUGUCUUAAGGCAGAACUUGAGGAAAAGCAGGAGACUUGGCACAGAAGCCGCAGAAGGCUUUUUCCAUGUGUAGGAACUUGCAAGGAUGGCAGGAGGCUACAGAGAGCAGACUUGAAACCCUGUGAAAAGAAGAAAUAAGCAAA